This 253-nucleotide ribosomal RNA is filed under the name uncultured bacterium. Its description in RNAcentral is "partial 16S ribosomal RNA". It matches the Rfam family "Bacterial small subunit ribosomal RNA", at positions 524 to 776 of the family's 1533-position model. The record is from RNAcentral.
UCCGAAGGGGGCUAUCGUUGUUCGGAAUUACUGGGCGUAAAGCGCACGUAGGCGGAUUAGUAAGUCAGGGGUGAAAUCCCGGGGCUCAACCUCGGAACUGCCUUUGAUACUGCUGAUCUCGAGUCCGGAAGAGGUGAGUGGAAUUCCUAGUGUAGAGGUGAAAUUCGUAGAUAUUAGGAAGAACACCAGUGGCGAAGGCGGCUCACUGGUCCGGUAAUGACGCUGAGGUGCGAAAGCGUGGGGAGCAAACAGG